RNAcentral lists this ribosomal RNA (253 nucleotides) under uncultured Longilinea sp. RNAcentral describes it as "partial 16S ribosomal RNA". It matches the Rfam family "Bacterial small subunit ribosomal RNA", at positions 524 to 776 of the family's 1533-position model. The record is from RNAcentral. Lineage: Bacteria; Bacillati; Chloroflexota; Anaerolineae; Anaerolineales; Anaerolineaceae.
AACGUAGGAGGCGAGCGUUAUCCGGAUUUACUGGGUGUAAAGCGCAUGCAGGCGGUUCGCUAAGUUGGAUGUGAAAGCUCCUGGCUUAACUGGGAGAGGUCGUUCAAGACUGACGAACUAGAGGAUGGUAAGGGAAAGCGGAAUUCCGGGUGUAGUGGUGAAAUGCGUAGAUAUCCGGAGGAACACCAGUGGCGAAGGCGGCUUUCUGGACCAUGACUGACGCUCAGAUGCGAAAGCUAGGGUAGCAAACGGG